RNAcentral lists this transfer RNA (72 nucleotides) under Capra hircus (goat). It matches the Rfam family "tRNA". From Rfam's summary of the family: Transfer RNA (tRNA) molecules are approximately 80 nucleotides in length. Their secondary structure includes four short double-helical elements and three loops (D, anti-codon, and T loops). Further hydrogen bonds mediate the characteristic L-shaped molecular structure. tRNAs have two regions of fundamental functional importance: the anti-codon, which is responsible for specific mRNA codon recognition, and the 3' end, to which the tRNAs corresponding amino acid is attached (by aminoacyl-tRNA synthetases). tRNAs cope with the degeneracy of the genetic code in two manners: having more than one tRNA (with a specific anti-codon) for a particular amino acid; and 'wobble' base-pairing, i.e. permitting non-standard base-pairing at the 3rd anti-codon position. Lineage: Eukaryota; Metazoa; Chordata; Mammalia; Artiodactyla; Bovidae. RNAcentral also lists the same sequence under 1 other name. The record is from Rfam by way of RNAcentral.
UCCUUGGUGGCUCAGAUGGUAAAGAGUCUGCCUGCAAUGCAGAAGACCCAGGUUCGAUCCCUGGGUCAGGAA